CGCCCGCCCCUUGCGGGUGGGAGGAAAGUCCGGGCAGCUCGAGCCGCCAUGCUUCCUAACGGGAAGAGGUCGCGAGGGUAACCGAGUGGUUAUAGAUAGCGCCACAGAAAAAAUACCGCCUUUGCGGUUUAAACCAAAAAGGUAAGGGUGAAAACGCGGGGUAAGAGCCCACGACGCGUCCUGGUGACAGGCGUGAUGGCAAGCCUCAUGGGCUGAAAGACCAUGUAAACCGGCAGUUUAAGGGCUGGCUCGCCCGAGUAGAGUUGCCGGAGGGUAGGUUGAUAGAGGCCGUCGGCGACGGCGGCACUAGAUUGAUGAUAGAACACGACAGAACCCGGCUUACAGGCGCGCUGU
RNAcentral lists this RNase P RNA (354 nucleotides) under bovine gut metagenome. Its description in RNAcentral is "Bacterial RNase P class A". It matches the Rfam family "Bacterial RNase P class A". Rfam says of the family: Ribonuclease P (RNase P) is a ubiquitous endoribonuclease, found in archaea, bacteria and eukarya as well as chloroplasts and mitochondria. Its best characterised activity is the generation of mature 5'-ends of tRNAs by cleaving the 5'-leader elements of precursor-tRNAs. RNAcentral also lists the same sequence under 1 other name. The record is from RNAcentral.